This 158-nucleotide ribosomal RNA is filed under the name Loreleia marchantiae. RNAcentral's name for it is "5.8S ribosomal RNA". It matches the Rfam family "5.8S ribosomal RNA". Rfam says of the family: 5.8S ribosomal RNA (5.8S rRNA) is a component of the large subunit of the eukaryotic ribosome. The record is from RNAcentral. Lineage: Eukaryota; Fungi; Basidiomycota; Agaricomycetes; Hymenochaetales.
UAACUUUCAACAACGGAUCUCUUGGUUCUUGCAUCGAUGAAGAACGCAGCGAAAUGCGAUACGUAAUGUGAAUUGCAGAAUUCAGUGAAUCAUCGAAUCUUUGAACGCACCUUGCGCCCCUUGGUAUUCCGAGGGGCAUGCCUGUUUGAGUGUCAUUA